This is a long non-coding RNA of Pteropus alecto (black flying fox), 2896 nucleotides long. RefSeq lists it as uncharacterized. The record is from RefSeq and is a predicted model, not a curated record. NCBI's taxonomy places the organism in Eukaryota, Metazoa, Chordata, Mammalia, Chiroptera, Pteropodidae. The transcript is spliced from 2 exons.
AGCCUCUCUUUAGAACUGGGAGCUUCCCAGCUAGCUUGCUGCAGCGAGGUGUUUUUCGGCUAAAAGGCGCCCCCUGGGUCCUAAGCCUCCUAUGCCAUGCAAGAUCACUAACCCUGAGUCAAGAGGAAAUCAGCCAAGUCGAGAGACAGAGAAAUUCAGGUUGUGCUUAGCAGUGGAUUAGUUUGAGACCUGCACUGGCUGCAUGCCCAGGGGUUUUCAUCUGUUCUGUUUCCAUUUGUGUGAGUACAGAAAGAGUAAUUCUGUUAAGAGGCAACAUUGCAGGAAGGGAGUUUAGAAUUAUAGUCACUAAGGCUGGACAACUUAGGACAAACUACACAAGACCACGGAGUGGGAUGCAAAUAACAGUAUCCAGACUCUGUGAUAGUCAAAUGGAGAGAGAAGGAAAAAAGAAUCCCACACAAGAUCAUGGAGUGAUUGUGGCUGGAAAGAAAUGCAAGGACAAAAGAAAUCAACAUCUUAUCACUAUGAAGCCCAGCCCUAAGAUCUGACCGUUGCCCUUCUCACCCUCUGUGAAGUCCAGAUAACAGAAGUGAGCAGUGUUAUGGGAGGUAUCACAAAUGGACUCAGAUUGGUCCCAGCAUGGCAAGACCCUGAGUUCAAUAAUAGAAGGUUAAGUACCAGCUUCAAACACUCAGUGUGUUCUCUGAGUUCCCAAUGAUAUUUCUACCUGGAGCUUUCUUCUAUAUUUACGUUAAUGGCUCAGUUGGAAGUCAGCCAUCACUGCUAAGCGUUCUUCAGUUUUUUGCAGUAUUGCCGGCAGCUUCUUUAUUAUCCUGACAUUAGAAAUAAGAAAUUCUGCCCCAUUGCAGCCGGGUUGUUGCUGCUCAGGCAAUGGUGGAACAUUUCUACUUUCUAGGGUCUUGUCCUUUCCCACACUGAGUGGCCUAACCUUUUGUCACCUUCACAAGUCAUCAUAUUUAUGAGGAAGCCUUCCAUUUCUAGAGUGGCUCGGCCAUCAGCCAGAAACAUGCUUUUGCUCUGAGUUACUGAUCUCUUAGAUAUAGGAGGAAAAUCUCCAAUAAACAUUAAAUUGUUAAUAUAUAUAAAGCAUUUAGAAGAGUGCCUCAUACAUAUUAAGAACUUCUGCUAUUAUUGUUGUUGUUGUUACUGCCACCAUCUAGGAUCAGAAGCUAGAGCCUAGCCAACCCUCUGAUGUUGCUCUUAUUAUGCUGGUUAAACAAAUCCAAAUUAUCUGGAAAUAGGGUUGAAAAUAUUUGGUUUCCUCUCAAUUUUGUGACCAUCAUCAGCUCAACGAAUCUUACAAAGGUCAAAGUGUUGUCACUUUAAUAUUUUUACUUGUUAGAGCUUUGAUAUUCCCUCUCUGGAUUCCUAAGAGACUCUAGUCCUGACUUGACAGGGGAUGGAUAAUCCAGCAAUCUCAGCAUAGGAUAAUGUAUAUUUUGUCCAUCCAUGAGUGUUUACCAAACAACUUAACAUGGGACAGCUAUAAACAUUAUAGCUAACAUUUAAUGAAUAUUUAGUAUGUACCAGAUACUGUUCUAAAUGCUUUUAUACAUAGUAUCUCAUCUAUUUUUCAUACAAACCCUAUGUAUAAGCACUAUUAUUAUUAUUUUGUAAAUGAAGAAACAUUCAUAAAGAGGUUAAGUAAUUUAUCUAAAGCCACAAAGAUAAUACAUGGAAGAGCCAGGAUAUGUACUUAGGCAGUCCAAUCCCAUAGCCUGUGCUAAUAACCACUUCACUGUACUGACAGAGAGAACUCUGGAUUUGAGAGGCAGAAGUCUAAUUCUGAUCUAACCCCUCCACUUCUUCACUUAAAUUGAAUGAUCUUAAGAAAGUUACCCAACCUUUCUGAACCUGUCUAGGCAUCUGUAAAAUGGGGAUGGUAAUUAAUAUAUAGUUCAUAGGAUGGUUGUGAAGCUUGUUAUGUGCCUUGCACUUAUUAGGCAUUCAGUAAAUGUUAGUUUCUUUUCUUCCUACUCUAUUCUAAGCAUUACACUGGUGGGCAAGAUGGAAUAGGAAAGCUGUAUCUCCUUGGGGACCUAGUGUGGGGUGGAAAGGGAAGAGGGAAGAAGAUGACAAACAUGGGACCAAACCAUUAUAAUAUAGUAUAAGAAAUGCCACUGUAGAGGAGCAUACAGUUGAGAGGUUUGGAGAAAAUAACAUUUUCUGAGAUGGGGCAGGGAGAAGUUGGAGAACUUUCAAGGUGCCAGUGACGUUUGUUUUGGAUAUUGAAAGACAAAAUAGGAUUGGAUGAGGUAGACAGAGGGCACAAGUUUGCAGGCAGAGCACAGGUGCUGAAGUAUUGAAGAGCUUGGCAGUCUGUUCAGGUAAUGCCUAGAGGUGUGGUAUGCAGUUGAGGAUUGAGGAUGAGACAGGAACUGAUGGAGACGAAUGAGUUGCAAGGAGAGGGGCACAUGAGCCUUCAAAUGUCAGUAUGUCCCUGCACCAUUAAGACUUAGACACAUUUACAAACGAAACGUAAUGAACUUAAGUAAAUUUAGUAACAAAAAAAACUUAUGAAUGCUCUAUUUUUUAUUGAGCUAUAAUUCACAUACCAUAAGAUUUACCAUUUUACAGUGUACAAAUCAGCAGUUUUUAGUAUAUUCACAAAAUUGUGCAACCAUCACCACUAUCUAAUUUUAGAACAUUUUCAUCACCUCAAAAAAACCCCUAACACCUAUUAGCCGUUACUCCCCAUCCUCUAGCAACCCUUGAUCUACUUACUUUCUGUUUCUAUGAAUUUAGAGAUUUUGGACAUUGAUAUUUUCAUAUCAAUGGAGUCAUACAACAUUUGACUUUUUGUGUCUGGCUUCUUUUAUUGUGCACAAUGUUUUCAAGAUUCAUCUGUUAUAGCACGUAUCAGUAUUUCAUUCCUUUGUAUAACUGAAUAAUAUCCCUUUGCAUGGUUAUACUA